UACGUAGGGUGCGAGCGUUAAUCGGAAUUACUGGGCGUAAAGGGCGCGUAGGCGGCCUUCUAAGUCGAACGUGAAAUCCCUGGGCUUAACCCAGGAACUGCGUCCGAUACUGGAAGGCUUGAAUCCGGGAGAGGGAUGCGGAAUUCCAGGUGUAGCGGUGAAAUGCGUAGAUAUCUGGAGGAACACCGGUGGCGAAGGCGGCAUCCUGGACCGGCAUUGACGCUGAGGCGCGAAAGCCAGGGGAGCAAACGGG
This 253-nucleotide ribosomal RNA is filed under the name uncultured bacterium. RNAcentral describes it as "partial 16S ribosomal RNA". It matches the Rfam family "Bacterial small subunit ribosomal RNA", at positions 524 to 776 of the family's 1533-position model. The record is from RNAcentral.